UGUAAUGCAUUAUCCCUUAAUAAUGAGACCUGAUUAAUAUUUGCUGCAUUUAGCUUGCAAUUAAGUGCUUUCUUUUGGAAGUCAUGGCAUCUUAACCAUAUUAUUGACUACCAUAGGAAUAGUAUCUGUGAGAAUAUUUUUGACAGUGGGUUGUUCUGAAACUUGAAUGGUUGGAACUGGAAGAGUUGUGCAUUUACUUUUAUCUUUGUUAGGAUAUAAGGAGGAGAGGUUAGUUAGAAUAUUAAUGAGUUAGUUAGGAUAUUUAGUAUAUUAAUCAACUAGUUAGAGGGUGUUGAUAAGAUAUAAAUAGGGGAAGAAGGAUGGGAGAGAGUUAGCUUUGUGGUUAUUGUAAAUUAAGCAUUGACCCUUUGUAGAGGGAAACCCUUGGUUGAGAGUUUACUCAUCCCCCGUGUGCUCGUAACCUAGUGGUGGCAAAUCUAUUGGAGUUUGUUUGGUGGUCCGAUCUACUUUUCCGUUUCCUUAUUUUUUUUUCAUUAUUUUUUUCCUAACUUUCCAAGAAAAAUGUCUUCCAACACCACACUCCCAUAUUUUCUAGCCAUAUUGUUAGUAUUGAGAAGGUGGGUGAGUCUAACUAUUUCACUUGGACAUCGGAAAUCUGGUUAUGGUUAAG
This 631-nucleotide long non-coding RNA is filed under the name Phaseolus vulgaris (common bean). RNAcentral describes it as "long non-coding RNA (PVUL_LNC002503)". Lineage: Eukaryota; Viridiplantae; Streptophyta; Magnoliopsida; Fabales; Fabaceae. The record is from RNAcentral.